RNAcentral lists this unclassified non-coding RNA (145 nucleotides) under uncultured fungus. RNAcentral's name for it is "sequence contains ITS1". The record is from RNAcentral. Lineage: Eukaryota; Fungi.
UUAAUUCUCAUGUAUGUUCAGACGCAAACGCUUAUCAGCAUAAAUGCGGCGCCGGAGCGCCGAAGCACGGGUUGCUUCCACAGGUUUGAAGGUUGAAGGCCGAAGCCAUUCAGUAAUGAUCCCUCCGCAGGUUCACCUACGGAGA